CCAGCAGCUGCGGUAAUUCCAGCUCCAAUAGCGUAUAUUAAAGUUGUUGCGGUUAAAAAGCUCGUAGUCGGAUUUCUGCCAAGGACGACCGAUCCACCUUCGGGUGCGCAUCAGUGUUGACCGAGGCAUUCUCCCUUCUCUGUCCACUUAAUUGGGGGCACGGGAUCGGACUUUUACUUUGAGGAAAUUAGAGUGUUUCAAGCAGGCAUACGCCUUGAAUACAUUAGCAUGGAAUAAUAAUAUAGGACUUCGGUUCUAUUUUGUUGGUUUCGAGAACUGAAGUAAUGAUUAAUAGGGACAGUCGGGGGCAUUCGUACUCAACAGUCAGAGGUGAAAUUCUUGGAUUUGUUGGAGACGAACUACUGCGAAAGCAUUUGCCAAGGAUGUUUUCAUUGAUCAAGAACGAAAGU
Molecule: ribosomal RNA, 410 nt
Filed under: uncultured eukaryote
Lineage: Eukaryota
Description: SSU rRNA
Rfam family: Eukaryotic small subunit ribosomal RNA
Source: RNAcentral